CAAAAAGACGGUCUCAGUUCGGAUUGCAGGCUGAAACCCGCCUGCAUGAAGCCGGAAUUGCUAGUAAUCGCGGAUCAGCAUGCCGCGGUGAAUACGUUCCCGGGUCUUGUACACACCGCCCGUCACACCAUGAGAGUUGGCAACACCCGAAGUCAGUAGCCUAACCGAAAGGAGGGCGCUGCCGAAGGUGGGGUCGAUGAUUGGGGUGAAGUCGUAACAAGGUACC
RNAcentral lists this ribosomal RNA (226 nucleotides) under uncultured bacterium. RNAcentral describes it as "partial 16S ribosomal RNA". It matches the Rfam family "Bacterial small subunit ribosomal RNA", at positions 1275 to 1500 of the family's 1533-position model. The record is from RNAcentral.